GACAGAGGGGGCAAGCGUUGCUCGGAAUCACUGGGCGUAAAGGGCGCGUAGGCGGUCUUGCAAGUCCCGUGUGAAAUCCCUCGGCUCAACUGAGGAACUGCACGGGAAACUGUUUGGCUUGAGUUCGGGAGAGGGAAGCGGAAUUCCGGGUGUAGCGGUGAAAUGCGUAGAUAUCCGGAGGAACACCGGUGGCGAAGGCGGCUUCCUGGACCGACACUGACGCUGAGGCGCGAAAGCUAGGGGAGCAAACGGG
RNAcentral lists this ribosomal RNA (253 nucleotides) under uncultured bacterium. Its description in RNAcentral is "partial 16S ribosomal RNA". It matches the Rfam family "Bacterial small subunit ribosomal RNA", at positions 524 to 776 of the family's 1533-position model. The record is from RNAcentral.